AGCAGCCGCGGUAAUUCCAGCUCCAAUAGCGUAUAUUAAAGUUGUUGCAGUUAAAAAGCUCGUAGUUGAAUUUCGGGAUCAAUACGUCGGUCGUGCUUCGGUACGUACUGGCGUCAUUGAUUUCUCCCUUCUGACGAACCAUGAUGUCAUUAACUUGGUGUCAUGGGAAAUCAGGACUGUUACUUUGAAAAAAUUAGAGUGUUUAAAGCAGGCUCACGCUUGAAUACAUUAGCAUGGAAUAAUGAAAUAGGACGUUCGAUCCUAUUUUGUUGGUUUUUAGGAUCAACGUAAUGAUUAAUAGGGAUAGUUGGGGGCAUUAGUAUUCAAUUGUCAGAGGUGAAAUUCUUGGAUUUAUUGAAGACUAACUACUGCGAAAGCAUUUGCCAAGGAUGUUUUCAUUAAUCAAGAACGAAAGUUAGGGGAUCGAAGACGAUCAGAUACCGUCGUAGU
RNAcentral lists this ribosomal RNA (450 nucleotides) under uncultured Glomus. Its description in RNAcentral is "SSU rRNA". It matches the Rfam family "Eukaryotic small subunit ribosomal RNA", at positions 569 to 1024 of the family's 1831-position model. The record is from RNAcentral. Lineage: Eukaryota; Fungi; Glomeromycota; Glomeromycetes; Glomerales; Glomeraceae. RNAcentral also lists the same sequence under 1 other name.